AGGAUGAACGCUGGCGGCGUGCCUAAUACAUGCAAGUCGAGCGGUAAGGCCACUUCGGUGGUACACGAGCGGCGGACGGCUGAGUAACACGUAGGAACGUACCCCAAACUGAGGCAUAAGCACCAGAAAUGGUGUCUAAUACCGCAUGUGCUCUUCGGAGUAAAGCUUCGGCGGUUUGGGAACGGCCUGCGCAUGAUUAGCUUGUUGGUGAGGUAAUAGCUCACCAAGGCGACGAUCAUUAGCUGGUCUGAGAGGAUGAUCAGCCAGACUGGGACUGAGAACGGCCCAGACUCCUACGGGAGGCAGCAGUAGGGAAUUUUCCACAAUGGGCGAAAGCCUGAUGGAGCAACGCCGCGUGCAGGAUGAAUGCCUUCGGGUUGUAAACUGCUUUUAUCUGUGAAGAUUAUGACGGUAGCAGAUGAAUAAGGAUCGGCUAACUCCGUGCCAGCAGCCGC
This 455-nucleotide ribosomal RNA is filed under the name uncultured bacterium. Its description in RNAcentral is "SSU rRNA". It matches the Rfam family "Bacterial small subunit ribosomal RNA", at positions 26 to 518 of the family's 1533-position model. The record is from RNAcentral.